AGUGAACCUUCUUGGGGUGAUUUCCAACAAUGGUCAAUGUCAUGAAACAUCUCCUUGACUUCCCAUAUGCUGGACGAACUUUUGGGUUGCAGGUGACUGACUAUGUUCCAUCUCAGGAGUUCAAUUUUUGUGCUCUUUCCUUGGAAGAACAAUUCGAGCUUGGUUACAUUAUAUCUCCUGCAGUUUACAUCUGAAACAGUCAAUCGAUGUCAGUCUAUCAGAAUCGUGUUGCUGAUCCAUCUGGAUGAUUUAUUCAUCAAUCUGCUCAUCCUGUCAUUCACCAAGUCUGUUUGUUCAGAGUCCCUGCUACACACAGCAACAUCACCUUCCAUCCCACAUUUAUAUCUGGAGUAAGAUUCAGUCUCCCGCAUGUGCUUGCCAACUAUAUUUGAACCCAGAAAAGGUUUCAGUUUCUUCAACUAGCAGACAACUCAAUCUCCACCUGAAGAACUUCACAACAUAGGCAUUGCCAUAUAUAUAUAUAUAUAUAUAUUUUUUUUUUUAAUUCAAUAAGAUGAGAAUGGUUUAUGGUUUUGCUCUGAACAUUUUGUUUUUGGGCCUUUCUCCUUCACUUUAAGGUUUAUCCCAGCCCAAGUCCACUAGUAUUUGAUUAAUCUUUGUGCCUCUGAACUAAUUAUCUUAGAAAUAUUUAAACAAAUCAAGAAUCAAUGCCAAAA
Carica papaya (papaya) is the source of this 677-nucleotide non-coding RNA. Lineage: Eukaryota; Viridiplantae; Streptophyta; Magnoliopsida; Brassicales; Caricaceae. The record is from RefSeq and is a predicted model, not a curated record.